This 686-nucleotide ribosomal RNA is filed under the name uncultured bacterium. Its description in RNAcentral is "bacterial SSU rRNA". It matches the Rfam family "Bacterial small subunit ribosomal RNA", at positions 18 to 739 of the family's 1533-position model. The record is from RNAcentral.
CCUGGCUCAGAACGAACGCUGGCGACAGGCUUAACACAUGCAAGUCGAACGCGAACGCACCUUCGGGUGUUAGUAGAGUGGCAGACGGGUGAGUAACGCGUGGGAACCUACCUAGGGGUACGGAAUAACGCAGGGAAACUUGUGCUAAUACCGUAUACGUCCUUCGGGAGAAAGAUUUAUCGCCCCUAGAUGGGCCCGCGUUGGAUUAGCUUGUUGGUGAGGUAAUGGCUCACCAAGGCUACGAUCCAUAGCUGGUCUGAGAGGAUGAUCAGCCACACUGGGACUGAGACACGGCCCAGACUCCUACGGGAAGCAGCAGUGGGGAAUCUUGCACAAUGGGCGAAAGCCUGAUGCAGCCAUGCCGCGUGAGUGAAGAAGGCCCUAGGGUUGUAAAACUCUUUCAGUGGGGAAGAUAAUGACGGUACCCACAGAAGAAGCUCCGGCUAACUCCGUGCCAGCAGCCGCGGUAAUACGGAGGGAGCUAGCGUUGUUCGGAAUUACUGGGCGUAAAGCGCACGUAGGCGGACUGAUCAGUUGGGGGUGAAAGCCCAGGGCUCAACCCUGGAACUGCCUUCAAUACUGUCAGUCUUGAGUCCGAGAGAGGUGAGUGGAAUUUCCAGUGUAGAGGUGAAAUUCGUAGAUAUUGGAAAGAACACCAGUGGCGAAGGCGGCUCACUGGCUCGGUA